This 193-nucleotide ribosomal RNA is filed under the name uncultured eukaryote. Its description in RNAcentral is "partial 18S ribosomal RNA". It matches the Rfam family "Eukaryotic small subunit ribosomal RNA", at positions 1 to 179 of the family's 1831-position model. The record is from RNAcentral.
UAACCUGGUUGAUCCUGCCAGUUUGUCAUAUGCUUCUUUCAAGGACUAAGCCAUGCAAAUGUCAGUGGACCUGAGUUUACUCGGGGGGACUGUGUACGGCUCAUUAAACGGUUAAUAGUCUACCCAACAAAGUGUGUUCUCGGACACACCGACGGGAUAACCGCGCGAAACGCGCAGCUAAUACCUGGAAGAC